CCAGACUCCUACGGGAGGCAGCAGUGAGGAAUAUUGGUCAAUGGGCUUACGCCUGAACCAGCCAAGUCGCGUGAGGGAAGACUGCCCUAUGGGUUGUAAACCUCUUUUGUCAGGGAGCAACGCCGGCUACGUGUAGCCGGACUGAGAGUACCUGAAGAAAAAGCAUCGGCUAACUACGUGCCAGCAGCCGCGGUAAUACGUAGGGGGCAAGCGUUAUCCGGAUUCACUGGGCGUAAAGGGAGCGCAGGCGGCACGGCAAGUCUGGUGUGAAAGCCCGGGGCCCAACCCCGGGACUGCAUUGGAAACUGCCGGGCUGGAGUGCCGGAGGGGCAGGCGGAAUUCCUGGUGUAGCGGUGAAAUGCGCAGAUAUCAGGAAGAACACCGGUGGCGCAGGCGGCUUGCUGGACGGCAACUGACGCUGAGGCUCGAAAGCGUGGGGAGCAAACAGGAUUAGAUACCCGCGUA
This 465-nucleotide ribosomal RNA is filed under the name uncultured bacterium. RNAcentral describes it as "bacterial SSU rRNA". It matches the Rfam family "Bacterial small subunit ribosomal RNA", at positions 331 to 792 of the family's 1533-position model. The record is from RNAcentral.